GCAUAUCAAUAAGCGGAGGAAAAGAAACCAACAGGGAUUGCCUCAGUAACGGCGAGUGAAGCGGCAACAGCUCAAAUUUGAAAUCUGGCCCUUUCAGGGUCCGAGUUGUAAUUUGGAGAAGAUGCUUCGGGUGUGGCCCCGGUCUAAGUUCCUUGGAACAGGACGUCAUAGAGGGUGAGAAUCCCGUAUGUGACCGGUGGCCUCGCCCAUGUGAAGCUCUUUCGACGAGUCGAGUUGUUUGGGAAUGCAGCUCAAAAUGGGUGGUAAAUUUCAUCUAAAGCUAAAUAUUGGCCAGAGACCGAUAGCGCACAAGUAGAGUGAUCGAAAGAUGAAAAGCACUUUGGAAAGAGAGUUAAACAGUACGUGAAAUUGUUGAAAGGGAAGCGCUUGCAACCAGACUUGCGCGCGGCCGAUCAUCCGGUGUUCUCACCGGUGCACUCGGUCGCGCUCAGGCCAGCAUCGGUUUGGGUGGUUGGAUAAAGGCCUCGGGAAUGUGGCUCCCCUCGGGGAGUGUUAUAGCCCGAGGUGCAAUGCAGCCUACCCGGACCGAGGACCGCGCUUCGGCUAGGAUGCUGGCGUAAUGGUUGUAAGCGACCCGUCUUGAAACACGGACCAAGGAGUCUAACAUCUAUGCGAGUGUUUGGGUGUCAAACCCAUACGCGUAAUGAAAGUGAACGGAGGUGAGAACCCUUAAGGGUGCAUCAUCGACCGAUCCUGAUGUCUUCGGAUGGAUUUGAGUAAGAGCAUAGCUGUUGGGACCCGAAAGAUGGUGAACUAUGCCUGAAUAGGGUGAAGCCAGAGGAAACUCUGGUGGAGGCUCGCAGCGGUUCUGACGUGCAAAUCGAUCGUCAAAUUUGGGCAUAGGGGCGAAAGACUAAUCGAACCAUCUAGUAGCUGGUUCUGCCGAAGUU
This 911-nucleotide ribosomal RNA is filed under the name Oidiodendron cereale. RNAcentral's name for it is "LSU rRNA". It matches the Rfam family "Eukaryotic large subunit ribosomal RNA", at positions 38 to 968 of the family's 3401-position model. Lineage: Eukaryota; Fungi; Ascomycota; Leotiomycetes; Myxotrichaceae. The record is from RNAcentral.